GCAUGGAAUAUCUCUGCUACUUUGGCUUGGCACGCAGCUGAGCCAGCUCGAAAUGGAUCCGAGCCACCUCUCUUAGGAUGGCAGAGAAGUGAUUUUUUGGAUUCUGUAGUUCGAGCCAACUUGAAAUAAGAUCCGAGCCAACUUGAAAUAAGAUCUAAGCUAGCUCUCUUAGAUCGAUAAAAAAAGUAUUUUUAAGCCUACAGUUCGAGCCA
Molecule: long non-coding RNA, 212 nt
Filed under: Elaeis guineensis (African oil palm)
Lineage: Eukaryota; Viridiplantae; Streptophyta; Magnoliopsida; Arecales; Arecaceae
Description: long non-coding RNA (EGUI_LNC029782)
Source: RNAcentral